Molecule: ribosomal RNA, 118 nt
Filed under: Lepisosteus oculatus (spotted gar)
Lineage: Eukaryota; Metazoa; Chordata; Actinopteri; Semionotiformes; Lepisosteidae
Source: RNAcentral
ACCUGCAGCUCUAUCACCCUGCAGCUCCCAGCUGGCAGCCCCACUGGAGCUCAGCAGGUGUGAGCCUGGUCAGUACCUGGAUGGGAGACUCCUGGGAAAGCUCAGGUUGCUGCUGGAA